UUUCGCAAUGCCCGAAAGGGUGACGAAGCGACGCCGCGUGCGGGAAGAAGGCCUUCGGGUUGUAAACCGCUGUCGGGAGUUAGGAAAUGCAAGGAUGUUAAUAGCGUCCUUGCUUGACUAAGGCUCCGGAGGAAGCCACGGCUAACUUUGUACCAGCAGCCGCGGUAAUACAGAGGCGGCAAGCGUUGUUCGGAAUUAUUGGGCGUAAAGAGCACGUAGGCGGCUGUGUAAGUCGGUUGUGAAAGCCUUCCGCUUAACGGAAGAACGGCAUCCGAUACUGCAUAGCUUGAGUGCGGGAGGGGAGAGUGGAACUUCUGGUGGAGCGGUGAAAUGCGUAGAUAUCAGAAGGAACACCGGCGGCGAAGGCGACUCUCUGGUCCGUAACUGACGCUGAGUGUGCGAAAGCUAGGGGAGCAAACGGGAUUAGAUACCCCGGUAGUCCUAGCCGUAAACGAUGGGCACUAAGUAGAGGGGUUUU
Molecule: ribosomal RNA, 478 nt
Filed under: uncultured Planctomycetales bacterium
Lineage: Bacteria; Pseudomonadati; Planctomycetota; Planctomycetia; Planctomycetales
Description: bacterial SSU rRNA
Rfam family: Bacterial small subunit ribosomal RNA
Source: RNAcentral